CAGAACAUAAUUUAGUUUGAGAAUACUGGCUUUGGGGGCCAGCAGUAGAGGUGUGAUCCCUCUUGUUCUGA
RNAcentral lists this transfer RNA (71 nucleotides) under Minervarya manoharani. RNAcentral describes it as "tRNA-Pro". It matches the Rfam family "tRNA". Rfam says of the family: Transfer RNA (tRNA) molecules are approximately 80 nucleotides in length. Their secondary structure includes four short double-helical elements and three loops (D, anti-codon, and T loops). Further hydrogen bonds mediate the characteristic L-shaped molecular structure. tRNAs have two regions of fundamental functional importance: the anti-codon, which is responsible for specific mRNA codon recognition, and the 3' end, to which the tRNAs corresponding amino acid is attached (by aminoacyl-tRNA synthetases). tRNAs cope with the degeneracy of the genetic code in two manners: having more than one tRNA (with a specific anti-codon) for a particular amino acid; and 'wobble' base-pairing, i.e. permitting non-standard base-pairing at the 3rd anti-codon position. Lineage: Eukaryota; Metazoa; Chordata; Amphibia; Anura; Dicroglossidae. The record is from RNAcentral.